AGUGAACGCUGGCGGCAGGCCUAACACAUGCAAGUCGAACGGCAGCACAGUAAGAGCUUGCUCUUACGGGUGGCGAGUGGCGGACGGGUGAGGUAUAUAUCGGACUCUACUCUUUCGUGGGGGUUAACGUAGGGAAACUUACUCUAAUACCGCAUACGACCUACGGGUGAAAGCAGGGGAUCUUCGGACCUUGCGCGAUUGGAUGAGCCGAUGUCGGAUUAGCUAGUUGGCGGGGUAAAGGCCCACCAAGGCGACGAUCCGUAGCUGGUCUGGGAGGAUGGUCGCCGACAUUGGAACGGAGACACGGUCCAGAGGCCUACGGGAGGCACCAGUGGGGAAUGUUGGACAAUAGGGGCAAGUCUGAUCCAGCCAUCCCGCGUGGGUGGAAGCAGCCUUCGGGUUGUGAAGCCGGUUUGUGGGGAAAGAAAAGCUGUAGGUUGAGACCCCGCUGGUGUGACGGUACCGAGAGAAGAAGCACCGGCUAACUACGUG
This 492-nucleotide ribosomal RNA is filed under the name uncultured bacterium. RNAcentral's name for it is "partial 16S ribosomal RNA". It matches the Rfam family "Bacterial small subunit ribosomal RNA", at positions 30 to 507 of the family's 1533-position model. The record is from RNAcentral.